RNAcentral lists this non-coding RNA (45 nucleotides) under Schistosoma mansoni. The record is from RNAcentral. Lineage: Eukaryota; Metazoa; Platyhelminthes; Trematoda; Strigeidida; Schistosomatidae.
AUCCAGCUGACGAGUCCCAAAAGAGACGAAACGCACGUUCUGAAU